RNAcentral lists this RNase P RNA (183 nucleotides) under Clostridiales bacterium. Its description in RNAcentral is "partial RNase P RNA component class A". It matches the Rfam family "Bacterial RNase P class A", at positions 158 to 352 of the family's 367-position model. Rfam says of the family: Ribonuclease P (RNase P) is a ubiquitous endoribonuclease, found in archaea, bacteria and eukarya as well as chloroplasts and mitochondria. Its best characterised activity is the generation of mature 5'-ends of tRNAs by cleaving the 5'-leader elements of precursor-tRNAs. The record is from RNAcentral. Lineage: Bacteria; Bacillati; Bacillota; Clostridia; Eubacteriales.
AAAGGCGGGGUAAGAGCCCACCGAUACCUCGGUAACGCGGUAUGCCAUGUAAACCCCACUCGGAGCAAGAUUGAAAUGGGAGCAUUUAAUGGCUGUCCGUCACGCUCCCCGUAAUCGCUUGAGUGUGCAGGUAACUGCACAUCCAGAUAGAUGGUCACAUAAACAGAACUCGGCUUACGGCUU